CAGGCAAACAGGAACCCACAGGAUGGACUGGAGUCUGCAUUACUGUCUUACUGCCUCCCAGCUGCCACCUUCCAUGAUCAGGUACUCUGUAGGGGAAGCUGGUGUUCUCCAUCAGGGAGCUGAGCACCUACUGGUCCGGGAGUGACAGAGGCUGCAGGGGCUGCAGGCAAAGCUGCUGUUCCACUCUGACAACACAAGCUGGCAGAUUUUUCUUCACAUGUUCCAAGAUUUCCAUGAUCCAGAACACUUUCAUUGCCAGAGAGUUUUGCCAGUCCCAGACACGAGGCCAAGAAGAGUCUGAUAUUCCAGCCAUCAGGCCACUGAGAAGGCAAUGGAAAAUAGACACACAGAAACAAAUGGGAAGACUUUUCAGUAAUCCAACAGGAAGCUGGUGGUGGCUAAGAUAACAACAACUGAGAUGAAGAGAAAUAGGGAAAUUUGGUAUGUAUUUUGGAGAUCCAGGUGAUUGGACUUGCUGAUGGAUUGGAUAGGGAAGAGGGGUUGCUGAGAGAACAUAAGAACUCAAGGAUGAAUUCUAACUUUUGGCCUCCAGAAAUUUUUAACUCAUCUAAAGACCCAAAUCUUAGAGCUUUACAAAGUAUUGUGUGAUAUGGCAUUUUAAUUUCUUAAGGUUUAUGAAAAUCUUAUAUAUAUGAACAAUGGACUUUACAAUUGGGUCUCUAUAGUACAUUGGGAUUAUACUGAGAUUUAGUUAGAUGAUAAUCUUGAAUAUCAUCAGAAAAAAUUGAAAUUAUGCUGUUUUAUUAUGAUAAAAAAAAUCCCAGGGGAAUGUGUAUGUCUGAAGGGGUCUGAAUAAAGCAAAAUUGGUUAUACAUUGAACACUUUUGAAGCUGAGUGAUUGGCAUGUGAAGGUUGAACUUUUGUGAAUGUUGCAAAAAUUACACAAUAAAAAGUUUAAAAAGAGAUAAGAAAAAAAUUUAGUUAUCUCCCCAUCAAGAUGAGAAUUGCUUCCUAUCUGCUUUUCAAAUAAACACCCAAAUAAUAACCACUCUAAGUACAUCAUAGUAAGUAGUUUGUCAGAGAAAUCAGGAAAUCCAGCCAAAAUUCUUAAGUACUUGAGGCUUAUAAACCCCUCAGAAAUAUGAUGAAACAUGAAAAUUUUUCCCAGGG
This is a long non-coding RNA of Nycticebus coucang (slow loris), 1131 nucleotides long. RefSeq lists it as uncharacterized. NCBI's taxonomy places the organism in Eukaryota, Metazoa, Chordata, Mammalia, Primates, Lorisidae. The record is from RefSeq and is a predicted model, not a curated record. The transcript is spliced from 3 exons.